ACAGGGUACGAGCCUGUACCUGAGAACUCAAAAUCCCCUGUACUACCACUAUACUACCUCCUAGUAAAGUCAGC
This 74-nucleotide transfer RNA is filed under the name Trachylepis aureopunctata (gold-spotted mabuya). Its description in RNAcentral is "tRNA-Gln". Lineage: Eukaryota; Metazoa; Chordata; Lepidosauria; Squamata; Scincidae. The record is from RNAcentral.